Molecule: microRNA, 23 nt
Filed under: Cordylochernes scorpioides
Lineage: Eukaryota; Metazoa; Arthropoda; Arachnida; Pseudoscorpiones; Chernetidae
Source: RNAcentral
GAGGCGGCCUAGAAUGGACAGGG